CACAGUGAAUGGUGGUGCAGGCUCAAAGGGCCAAAUGACCUGCUCCUGCACCAUUCAGCCACAUUAAAAUAAGAGCAUGUGGAGGUGCAUUUGUGGAAAUGAAAAGCCUCUUGCAUCGGCGGGGGCACUGUGCUGCCAGAGUUCGACAGGUAAGUAUUUGGUGGCAGAUUUAACUGAGCAGCUGGCUCAGUAUGAACAACUGGUAGUGCAGCUGCAAAACGACAUUCAGGACAAAGAGACCCAGCUACACGUGAGAGAUCAACAGCUUAAGGUAACAUCAAUUCCAGUUGAAUAUUUGUUACCCUCACUGAGUGAGCUAUUACAGUGAUCUGUGUACUUUGUGUUUGCAUUUCUGCAGUUGGAUUUCACUUUAAAGCCUGAAAAUUCAGUCCAAAGUAUUGCAAGUUUUCUUUUUAACAAUAACAAUUAACAAUGCCUCUUAUUUUCUAAAGCAAAGACUAUUGUUAAACC
Amblyraja radiata (thorny skate) is the source of this 471-nucleotide long non-coding RNA. RefSeq lists it as uncharacterized. The record is from RefSeq and is a predicted model, not a curated record. The transcript is spliced from 3 exons. Lineage: Eukaryota; Metazoa; Chordata; Chondrichthyes; Rajiformes; Rajidae.